UGGGGAAUAUUGCACAAUGGGCGGAAGCCUGAUGCAGCGACGCCGCGUGGGGGAUGAAGGCCUUCGGGUUGUAAACUCCUUUCGACAGGGACGAAGCUUUUGUGACGGUACCUGUAUAAGAAGCACCGGCUAACUCCGUCCCAGCACCCCCGGCAAUACGUAGGGUGCGAGCGUUGUCAGGAAUUACUGGGCGUAAAGAGCUCGUAGGUGGUUUGUCGAGUCGUAUGUGAAAUUCCGGGGCUUAACUCCGGGCGUGCAGGCGAUACGGGCUGACUUGAGGGCUGUAGGGGAGACUGGAAUUCCUGGUGUAGCGGUGAAAUGCGCAGAUAUCAGGAGGAACACCGAUGGCGAAGGCAGGUCUCUGGGCAGUAACUGACGCUGAGGAGCGAAAGCAUGGGUAGCGAACAGG
RNAcentral lists this ribosomal RNA (409 nucleotides) under Actinomycetes bacterium. Its description in RNAcentral is "Actinobacteria bacterium partial 16S ribosomal RNA". It matches the Rfam family "Bacterial small subunit ribosomal RNA", at positions 355 to 776 of the family's 1533-position model. The record is from RNAcentral. Lineage: Bacteria; Bacillati; Actinomycetota; Actinomycetes.